AGGCGAGAGCCCAUCAAAAUUAUCCUUGGGUGCAGCAGUCGCUAUGAGACACAAACACCAGCGAAAGCAAUUAAAUAUUCCAUCUUUAAUUAGCUUUGCAAAAAUAGUGAUGAGUUGGGGUCACAGUUCUGCCCAGUUUGCAUAAUUGAACAGAAACGUUUUACUAUACAACUAAAUUAAACCAGUUAUCAAUUCAAUUGUAACAAAGAAAGGAAUAGCAGAAGUAAAUAGCUAGGAUCACUUGUAUGUAAUAUAGACAACACAUAAUUAUAGAUUUUAAUCGAACAUAAAAUCGAUACUUAUCUCUUGAAGCGUGACCNNN
RNAcentral lists this long non-coding RNA (322 nucleotides) under Nicotiana benthamiana. Its description in RNAcentral is "long non-coding RNA (NBEN_LNC017237)". Lineage: Eukaryota; Viridiplantae; Streptophyta; Magnoliopsida; Solanales; Solanaceae. The record is from RNAcentral.